AUUGAACGCUGGCGGCGUGCUUUACACAUGCAAGUCGGACGAGUGGCGAACGGGUGAGUAACGCAUCGGAAAGUACCGAGUAAUGGGGGAUAACUGUCCGAAAGGACAGCUAAUACCGCAUAUUAUUCGAGCUGCCGAUGUCUGAUUAGCUGGUUGGCGGGGUAAAGGCCCACCAAGGCUACGAUAAGUAGCGGGUCUGCUAGGAUGAUCGGCGCCACUGGGACUGAUACACGGCCCAGACUCCUACGGUAGGCAGCAGUGGGGAAUUUUGGACAAUGGGCGCAAGCCUGAUCCAGCCAUGCCGCUUGUCUGAAGAAGGCCUUCGGGUUGUAAAGGACUUUUGUCAGGGAAGCGGUACCUGAAGAAUAAGCACCGGCUAACUACGUGCCAGCCGCCACGGUAAUUC
Molecule: ribosomal RNA, 406 nt
Filed under: uncultured bacterium
Lineage: Bacteria
Description: partial 16S ribosomal RNA
Rfam family: Bacterial small subunit ribosomal RNA
Source: RNAcentral